This 1382-nucleotide long non-coding RNA is filed under the name Heterocephalus glaber (naked mole-rat). RNAcentral describes it as "lncRNA (ENSHGLG00100047849.1)". Lineage: Eukaryota; Metazoa; Chordata; Mammalia; Rodentia; Bathyergidae. The record is from RNAcentral.
GUCCGCAUACACAUUCACGCCCGGGGGCGCGGCCGCCACGUGGGGAGUGGCGCGGGGGUGGUACUGGGACCGCACCCCCCUCUCGUCCUGGCUGCGUGGGCCCCGCUUUCCCCCUGCGCUGAAGACUCUGAGCCCGGCCGGUCCCACCUUCCACGCGAGCUGAAUUCCCUCCCGCAUUCCACCGGGGCGGUGGGAACUGCGGGCUCCGGGAGGCGCUCGGGCUCCGAGCAGCGACUCAGCCCCUCACUCUUCCCUCCGCAGUGCCGCGGCCGCCCAGCCAGGAUUCCCGCGGGUCUCAGCGGCCGCGAGCGCGAGGCGGCGCGGAUUCCCGGCGCGGUACCGGCGCUGCUGCUCACCUCUCUCGCGUCGCCUCCCGCGGCUUCCACCUUGCACCUGGCGUUCCUCUGCGCGCCUGCUGGGCCCAUCUCUGGUUUCCCUUUUCUGCUUCUAGACCCCGCGUCACAACUGCGCAGACCUCUGCGGUCAGGAAAGCGCGUCGGGCGCGGGCAGAGUUGGAUCCGCUCGGGCUUCACGCUUUCACGCUUCGCGCGGGCAUCUCUUCCUCCUCCCGGGCACCGAGGCCAGAGCAGUGUUUCGAGCUAGAGGAUACUAAAGGAGGAAGAGGAGAAGAGGAGGAAGAUGAAGAGACCCUGGCUGGUCCUGAGGAGUGGACACCCUGCCUGGUUGGUUGGGCCCAACUGGGAAGUUCUCUACCAUCUGGUGGAGUUUAGGUCACAUAUGUGGCUGCACUCAUCUGGGAGCUACCUGCAGCUGAAACACUCGAGAUGGCCGCUCGUCCUCCAGAGCUUCUACCCACCUGGGCUCUAACCAUUCAGUCAUCUGGCUUUGGCUUCCUCAUGCUAUGGCAGUUGGGCUCCAAGAAGAGAGAAGUGGAACUGGCCAUUCCCUUUAAGGCUUGGACUUCGCUUCUGUCACACACUGUUGGUCAAAGCAAGUCACAGGCCUAAUGAUUCAAGGGGAGGGGAACUAGGCUGCACCUGUUUCUAGGGACAAAAGGAAGAGGUUGAUGACCAUUGGACACUAUCUAUCUCCCACAGCAUGUGGCAGUAAUUAUACAGGGAGCUCCUGGAGGGCAAGGAUCCAGCUAUAUAUCCACUCUUCCCAAGCCCACACGGUCAGAGAUUUCAGGAUACAGUGUGAACUCCAGCUUCAAUAUUCCUCAUACUGGAAUGUUGGUCUGGGAGAGGGUCGAGAGGUGGUGGAGUCAAGCCCAGGCUGUCGGCUGCCUCUGUUGGGACUCUUUAAUUUCAAGAUAGUGCAUCUAAAUGCUGUCUGGAAGUCUUUUUCUGGGCAUAGGUUAUGCCCCCUGCGGCAUGAUGGGCACAUUUCAUUCAGCCACAUGGUUACACAGAGCCCUGGAU